UAAAAAAAGCCAUCCCACCACACUGUUUCCAACGCUCACUUAUCCGUUCAUUUUCCUAUCUCGUUUACGACUUCAUUUUAGUCUCUAUCUUUUACUACGUAGCCACCACUUACUUCCACAACCUCCCUCAGCCACUAUCUUUCGUCGCCUGGCCAAUUUAUUGGACUCUUCAAGGUUCAGUCCUCACUGGCGUUUGGGUUAUCGCCCAUGAAUGCGGUCACCAUGCUUUUAGCGAUUACCAAUGGAUUGAUGACACUGUCGGUCUCAUUCUCCAUUCAUCCCUUCUUGUCCCGUACUUUUCGUGGAAAUAUAGUCACCGACGUCACCAUUCCAACACUGGUUCCCUUGAACGCGACGAAGUAUUUGUUCCGAAGAAACGGAGCAGCAUUAGAUGGUGGGCUAAAUACCUCAACAAUCCACCAGGUCGUUUCGUCACAGUCACCAUUCAGCUCACUCUCGGAUGGCCUCUUUACUUAGCAUUCAAUGUAGCAGGUAGACCUUACGAAGGACUCGCUUGUCACUACAACCCAUACGGUCCUAUCUACAACGACCGUGAACGACUUCAAAUCUACAUAUCCGACGUCGGUGUCCUUGCUGUCACCUAUGGGCUGUACCGUCUCGUGUUAGCCAAAGGUCUAGCUUGGGUCAUUUGCGUUUACGGUGUCCCAUUGCUCAUCGUUAAUGCAUUCCUCGUCAUGAUCACAUACUUGCAACACACUCACCCCGCAUUACCACACUACGACUCAUCCGAAUGGGACUGGUUACGUGGAGCCCUCGCGACGGUCGACCGAGAUUAUGGGAUAUUAAACAAGGUUUUCCAUAACAUAACUGAUACUCAUGUCGCUCAUCAUUUGUUUUCGACGAUGCCGCAUUACCACGCAAUGGAAGCAACUAAGGCAAUAAAACCAAUAUUG
RNAcentral lists this long non-coding RNA (914 nucleotides) under Gossypium barbadense (sea-island cotton). RNAcentral describes it as "long non-coding RNA (GBAR_LNC011027)". The record is from RNAcentral. Lineage: Eukaryota; Viridiplantae; Streptophyta; Magnoliopsida; Malvales; Malvaceae.